CAGAGCAAGAGGGCGGAUGUAGCCAAGUGGAUCA
This 34-nucleotide transfer RNA is filed under the name Hoodia gordonii. RNAcentral's name for it is "partial tRNA-His". Lineage: Eukaryota; Viridiplantae; Streptophyta; Magnoliopsida; Gentianales; Apocynaceae. The record is from RNAcentral. RNAcentral also lists the same sequence under 3 other names.